This 254-nucleotide ribosomal RNA is filed under the name uncultured bacterium. RNAcentral's name for it is "partial 16S ribosomal RNA". It matches the Rfam family "Bacterial small subunit ribosomal RNA", at positions 524 to 776 of the family's 1533-position model. The record is from RNAcentral.
UACGGGGGGGGCAAGCGUUGUUCGGAAUUACUGGGCGUAAAGGGCUCGUAGGCGGCCAACUAAGUCAGACGUGAAAUCCCUCGGCUUAACCGGGGAACUGCAUCUGAUACUGGAUGGCUUGAGGUUGGGAGAGGGAUGCGGAAUUCCAGGUGUAGCGGUCAAAUGCGUAGAUAUCUGGAGGAACACCGGUGGCGAAGGCGGCAUCCGGGGCCAAUUCUGACGCUGAGUGAGCGAAAGCCAGGGGAGCAAACGGG